This 785-nucleotide ribosomal RNA is filed under the name Comamonadaceae bacterium. RNAcentral's name for it is "bacterial SSU rRNA". It matches the Rfam family "Bacterial small subunit ribosomal RNA", at positions 1 to 783 of the family's 1533-position model. Lineage: Bacteria; Pseudomonadati; Pseudomonadota; Betaproteobacteria; Burkholderiales; Comamonadaceae. The record is from RNAcentral.
GAACUGUAGAGUUUGAUCCUGGCUCAGAUUGAACGCUGGCGGCAUGCCUUACACAUGCAAGUCGAACGGUAACAGGUCUUCGGAUGCUGACGAGUGGCGAACGGGUGAGUAAUACAUCGGAACGUGCCCGAUCGUGGGGGAUAACGAAGCGAAAGCUUUGCUAAUACCGCAUACGAUCUACGGAUGAAAGCGGGGGAUCUUCGGACCUCGCGCGGACGGAGCGGCCGAUGGCAGAUUAGGUAGUUGGUGGGAUAAAAGCCUACCAAGCCGACGAUCUGUAGCUGGUCUGAGAGGAUGAUCAGCCACACUGGGACUGAGACACGGCCCAGACUCCUACGGGAGGCAGCAGUGGGGAAUUUUGGACAAUGGGGGAAACCCUGAUCCAGCCAUGCCGCGUGCAGGAUGAAGGCCUUCGGGUUGUAAACUGCUUUUGUACGGAACGAAAAGUCUCUUCCUAAUACGAAGGGGUGAUGACGGUACCGUAAGAAUAAGCACCGGCUAACUACGUGCCAGCAGCCGCGGUAAUACGUAGGGUGCAAGCGUUAAUCGGAAUUACUGGGCGUAAAGCGUGCGCAGGCGGUUAUGUAAGACAGAGGUGAAAUCCCCGGGCUCAACCUGGGAACUGCCUUUGUGACUGCACAGCUGGAGUGCGGCAGAGGGGGAUGGAAUUCCGCGUGUAGCAGUGAAAUGCGUAGAUAUGCGGAGGAACACCGAUGGCGAAGGCAAUCCCCUGGGCCUGUACUGACGCUCAUGCACGAAAGCGUGGGGAGCAAACAGGAUUAGAU